CUAAAAGCAUGACGUGCUCUCUUCAGAUUAUAAUAAGGUUGUCCGUGCCCUGCAGCUCUCCUGCCUGUCUGUCGCGUCCUCCCUAGGGUCAAACUUCAGCAACUGAAAAACGGCGCGUCCGCAAGCCCGGCGGAGCUCUGGGCCGAUGUGCCGACAGGCGUGAGACCGUUCGAAAGCCUUGCCCAGACCCUGCUGCGGGCUGGGGUGUCCCGAAGGCAGCUCAGACCUGCUCGUGCAGUUGACAGUGCUGGCUCGCCUUCCCGGCUCUCUUGCUCCGCGAGUAUCCCUCCGUGUGCCUGCAGACAGCUUUUUUUUAAAAAAAAAAAACAAAAAAACAAAAAAAACCGCGACGACGGGGCCUGGCUGGCAGCGUGCUCCGUGCGCGCAGUACGAAACUGUGAUACCGUCUCCUUGCAGAUGAGACAACUAAACGUCUGAAGUGUUUUACAGAGCUGUGACUGGCGGGCGAGACCACCAACAGGCACCGGGGGAAGGCAGCGCUGCCGGACGGGGCAGGAGAACAGUGUUUGCAGUGUUGUCCGAAUCCCGAAUACACGGUUGAGUAAACUAACCCGUGAGUAAAUAAACCCCAAACUGUGGAAAUCUGCACAUGGCUACAGCCCUGCGAUUCCCAUUUCCAUGAUGCUCAGAAUUUAAUGGACUGCUGAAGUUUGACCAAAAGGCAUUUCUUGUGUCAAAAUGAAAAAUUACAGAUCAAAAGGGUGACUUUGCAGACAAACAUAUCGAUCUAAAGCCUGGGUGACACAGACUUCCUGGAAGAGAGCCCAGAAGCAUGUCUGUGUUUAAAGUCAAAUGGCUGUAGCCUUUUACCACUGAUGAAUAAAAAAUGUUUUUGUCUGUGUGCCGAAGGCUCGAGCAGAAACAGAAAUGACUCGAUUUGUUCUGCUGGAGGAGCAGGUUCGUGUUUGUGAAUAAUAAUCCAUUGAAUGCUGCAGUGUUUUUACAAUACUAAGAAAAAAACUGAUAGUCAAGUAGGAAAUAAGAAUUUGGAGAAAGGAUUUUUUUCACCCCCUCGAAAGCUCUGUUUAUGGCAACUUUGGGAAAGGCAAACCGAGUCCCCUUCGUCCGUGUCCGCGGGGCAGAGCGGCUGGCGUCCCCUUCCCUGGAGGUGUGAGGAGGGAGCAGUCGUGACGUUCCUCCAGAGAAUUAUUUCCUUUGCAUUGAGCACCAUACAGCCCCACUAGCUUGGAGAUGAUGGUGACAAAGCCAGGAUUCAGAGUCCAGCCUGAGACAGCAUGUCAGCAGUGGAAAAACCGACCACAAACUCCUUUGCCUUCGAGGUCUGCUGCUGUUGCCUGGCACCUAAAAGACACUGGGCCAAACUUGCCCCUGUGCUGUCGGCGCUGGUUCCUGCAGGGUGAUGCUCACGGUGACUGUGGCCUGCCGUCUCGUCUGUGACAGCCGUACACCCAGCAGCGGCGCUGACUUGGCACAAUCGUCU
Molecule: long non-coding RNA, 1462 nt
Filed under: Struthio camelus australis
Lineage: Eukaryota; Metazoa; Chordata; Aves; Struthioniformes; Struthionidae
Description: lncRNA (ENSSCUG00000011544.1)
Source: RNAcentral